RNAcentral lists this ribosomal RNA (92 nucleotides) under Candidatus Thioglobus sp. The record is from RNAcentral. Lineage: Bacteria; Pseudomonadati; Pseudomonadota; Gammaproteobacteria; Pseudothioglobaceae (SeqCode).
CCACCUGAUCCCAUACCGAACUCAGAAGUGAAACCACUUAGCGCCGAUGGUAGUGUGGGGUCUCCCCAUGUGAGAGUAGGACAUUGCUAGGC